GCUCUAGACGAUGAAGAGAUGAACGCCUACAUCAUCGCUGGCCUCGACGCCGACUUUGAGCCAGUGGUGUCCUCCAUAGUCGGGAGAUCACAUCCUGUUCCUGUCUCGGAAGUUUACGCACAACUUCUGAGCUUUGAGA
Small nucleolar RNA from Phragmites australis (common reed), 139 nucleotides. RefSeq annotates it as small nucleolar RNA Z247. The record is from RefSeq and is a predicted model, not a curated record. Lineage: Eukaryota; Viridiplantae; Streptophyta; Magnoliopsida; Poales; Poaceae. The transcript has a single exon.